GCCUCUGAAGCUGUAGCGGCACAGCACCGGUCUCUUAAACCGGAGAUUCCGGGUUCAAGUCCCGGUGGAGGCACCA
RNAcentral lists this transfer RNA (76 nucleotides) under marine sediment metagenome. RNAcentral describes it as "tRNA-Lys". It matches the Rfam family "tRNA". From Rfam's summary of the family: Transfer RNA (tRNA) molecules are approximately 80 nucleotides in length. Their secondary structure includes four short double-helical elements and three loops (D, anti-codon, and T loops). The record is from RNAcentral.